UACGUAGGGGGCGAGCGUUGUCCGGAUUUAUUGGGCGUAAAGAGCUCGUAGGCGGCUGCGGAAGUCGGAUGUGAAAUACCGGGGCUCAACUCCGGGGCGCCAUUCGAUACUCCGCUGACUCGAGUCCGGUAGGGGAAGGUGGAAUUCCUGGUGUAGCGGUGAAAUGCACAGAUAUCAGGAGGAACACCGGUGGCGAAGGCGGCCUUCUGGGCCGGUACUGACGCUGAGGAGCGAAAGCUAGGGGAGCGAACAGG
This 254-nucleotide ribosomal RNA is filed under the name uncultured bacterium. RNAcentral's name for it is "partial 16S ribosomal RNA". It matches the Rfam family "Bacterial small subunit ribosomal RNA", at positions 524 to 776 of the family's 1533-position model. The record is from RNAcentral.